AACGAACGCUGGCGGCAUGCCUAACACAUGCAAGUCGAACGAGACCUUCGGGUCUAGUGGCGCCCGGGUGCGUAACGCGUGGGAACCUGCCCUUAGGUUCGGAAUAACUCCCCGAAAGGGGUGCUAAUACCGGAUAAUGUCUUCGGACCAAAGAUUUAUGGCCUUUGGAUGGGCCCUCGUUGGAUUAGCUAGUUGGUAGGGUAAAAGCCUACCAAGGCGACGAUCCAUAGCUGGUCUGAGAGGAUGGUCAGCGACACUGGGACUGAGACACGGCCCAGACUCCUACGGGAGGCAGCAGUGGCGAAUAUUGCACAACGGGCGAAAGCCUGAUCCAGCUAGGCCGCGUGAGUGAUGAAGGCCUUAGGGUUGUAAAGCGCAUUUACCCAGGAUGAUAAUGACAGUACCGGGAGAAUAAGCUCCGGCUAACUCCGUG
This 433-nucleotide ribosomal RNA is filed under the name uncultured bacterium. Its description in RNAcentral is "partial 16S ribosomal RNA". It matches the Rfam family "Bacterial small subunit ribosomal RNA", at positions 29 to 507 of the family's 1533-position model. The record is from RNAcentral.